This 228-nucleotide microRNA precursor is filed under the name Sorghum bicolor (sorghum). RNAcentral describes it as "MIR6217 microRNA precursor family". It matches the Rfam family "MIR6217 microRNA precursor family". The record is from Rfam by way of RNAcentral. Lineage: Eukaryota; Viridiplantae; Streptophyta; Magnoliopsida; Poales; Poaceae.
UAGCUACAAAAUAACAUAUUCUGUAGCCAGUUUAAGUUACAAUAAUAACUAUGUUAAUUUAUGAGAUUAUAGUAACUUCUUACUAAGUGGUUUGCUGUAAUGUUAUGGUAAAUAUCCCCAUGUGUUAUAGUAACCCAACUAUCAUAAAUAUGUAUAUAUAUUAUCGUAAAUUAGUAUAUAAAACUAUCGUAAAUAGAAGUGGCUAUAGAAUAACUUAUUUUGUAGCUA